Molecule: transfer RNA, 74 nt
Filed under: Sulfurovum sp. AR
Lineage: Bacteria; Pseudomonadati; Campylobacterota; Epsilonproteobacteria; Campylobacterales; Sulfurovaceae
Rfam family: tRNA
About the family: Transfer RNA (tRNA) molecules are approximately 80 nucleotides in length.
Source: Rfam by way of RNAcentral
CGCGGGAUAGAGCAGUUUGGUAGCUCGUCGGGCUCAUAACCCGAAGGUCGUUGGUUCAAAUCCGGCUCCCGCAA